RNAcentral lists this ribosomal RNA (460 nucleotides) under uncultured bacterium. Its description in RNAcentral is "partial 16S ribosomal RNA". It matches the Rfam family "Bacterial small subunit ribosomal RNA", at positions 338 to 795 of the family's 1533-position model. The record is from RNAcentral.
CCUACGGGAGGCAGCAGUGAGGAAUAUUGGUCAAUGGACGAGAGUCUGAACCAGCCAAGUAGCGUGAAGGAUGACUGCCCUAUGAGUUGUAAACUUCUUUUAUAUGGGAAUACACCGUUCCACGUGUGGGAUUUUGUAUGUACCAUAUGAAUAAGGAUCGGCUAACUCCGUGCCAGCAGCCGCGGUAAUACGGAGGAUACGAGCGUUAUCCGGAUUUAUUGGGUUUAAAGGGAGCGUAGGUGGGUUGUUAAGUCAGUUGUGAAAGUUUGCGGCUCAACCGUAAAAUUGCAGUUGAAACUGGUAGUCUUGAGUACAGUAGAGGUAGGCGGAAUUCGUGGUGUAGCGGUGAAAUGCUUAGAGAUCACGAAGAACUCCGAUUGCGAAGGCAGUUCACUGGACUGCAACUGACACUGAGGCGCGAAAGUGUGGGUAGCAAACAGGAUUAGAUACCCUUGUAGUC